Molecule: ribosomal RNA, 463 nt
Filed under: uncultured bacterium
Lineage: Bacteria
Description: bacterial SSU rRNA
Rfam family: Bacterial small subunit ribosomal RNA
Source: RNAcentral
UACGGGAGGCAGCAGUGGGGAAUAUUGCACAAUGGGCGCAAGCCUGAUGCAGCCAUGCCGCGUGUAUGAAGAAGGCCUUCGGGUUGUAAAGUACGUUUCAGCAGUGAGGAAGGUGGGUAUGUUAAUAGCAUAUUCAUUUGACGUUAGCUGCAGAAGAAGCACCGGCUAACUCCGUGCCAGCAGCCGCGGUAAUACGGAGGGUGCGAGCGUUAAUCGGAAUUACUGGGCGUAAAGCGCAUGCAGGUGGUUUGUUAAGUCAGAUGUGAAAGCCCCGGGGCUCAACCUCGGAAUUGCAUUUGAAACUGGCAAACUAGAGUACUGUAGAGGGGGUAGAAUUUCAGGUGUAGCGGUGAAAUGCGUAGAGAUCUGAAGGAAUACCGGUGGCGAAGGCGGCCCCCUGGACAGAUACUGACACUCAGAUGCGAAAGCGUCGGGGAGCAAACAGGAUUAGAUACCCUGGUAG